This 504-nucleotide ribosomal RNA is filed under the name uncultured bacterium. RNAcentral's name for it is "partial 16S ribosomal RNA". It matches the Rfam family "Bacterial small subunit ribosomal RNA", at positions 29 to 523 of the family's 1533-position model. The record is from RNAcentral.
AUUGAACGCUGGCGGCAGGCCUAACACAUGCAAGUCGAACGGUAGCACAGAGAGCUUGCUCUCGGGUGACGAGUGGCGGACGGGUGAGUAACGUCUGGGAAACUGCCCGAUGGAGGGGGAUAACUACUGGAAACGGUAGCUAAUACCGCAUAACGUCGCAAGACCAAAGUGGGGGACCUUCGGGCCUCACACCAUCGGAUGUGCCCAGAUGGGAUUAGCUAGCAGGUGGGGUAAUGGCUCACCUAGGCGACGAUCCCUAGCUGGUCUGAGAGGAUGGCCAGCCACACUGGAACUGAGACACGGUCCACACUCCUACGGGAGGCAGCAGUGGGGAAUAUUGCACAAUGGGCGCAAGCCUGAUGCAGCCAUGCCGCGUGUAUGAAGAAGGCCUUCGGGUUGUAAAGUACUUUCAGCGGGGAGGAGGGCGGUGAAGUUAGUAACUUCACCGAUUGACGUUACCCGCAGAAGAAGCACCGGCUAACUCCGUGCCAGCAGCCGCCGUAA